UAGACAGAAGCGGAAUGGUGGUUGCCAGG
RNAcentral lists this non-coding RNA (29 nucleotides) under Homo sapiens (human). The record is from RNAcentral. Lineage: Eukaryota; Metazoa; Chordata; Mammalia; Primates; Hominidae.